CCAUGUAUUUAUUAUGUGAAAGAUAACAUAUGGGCGACAUGCACAGUGAAAUGUAAUUAGACAUAAAACAAGCCACAGACGGGAGAAGCUGCCAAGAGCCUACGACAUGAUAAUGACAAUGCUUUGAGUGGUAUCGUUUAUUUUACAAUCUAUCACUGCAGCGGCUUGCCCCGGUCACCUGCUGAACAAGAACAGGCCGUGUAAACACGGAGUUGGAAGCUCAUUCGGAGAUGCCUUGCCAGGCGUCAUCUUUAGUUCCUGUGGCUUUUCCAAGGUGAGGAGCAACGGCUUCCACAGGUGACAGUCUUGCUUUGAGAACUUCCCGGACUUCUGGACUGCUCUGUGCCUCUGGUGCCCACUGUUCAGAAUGGGAAAGAUCCACACAGGAAGUCUAGGCAAGAGCACCUGGAAAUGUGGGAAUCAUAGGAAGUCUAACGUCAAGUGUAAUCAACGGAAGAGCCAACACCCCAGGCUGCACUUCACCACCUGGUUCUAAGAUUCUGGGGUUGCGGGGAGCAAGUUCCCCUCACCUCAAGGCUCUCCCAUCCUGCCUUUCCUUCCCAGGUUCUCCCUGUGCCCCACUGUCUAAGAUUUAGGCCCUCUCCAUU
Molecule: long non-coding RNA, 608 nt
Organism: Mastomys coucha (southern multimammate mouse)
Lineage: Eukaryota; Metazoa; Chordata; Mammalia; Rodentia; Muridae
Exons: 3
Source: RefSeq, a predicted model, not a curated record